Molecule: ribosomal RNA, 229 nt
Filed under: uncultured bacterium
Lineage: Bacteria
Description: partial 16S ribosomal RNA
Rfam family: Bacterial small subunit ribosomal RNA
Source: RNAcentral
CGCGUAGGCGGUCUCUUAAGUCAGAUGUGAAAGCCCGAGGCUUAACCUCGGAAGUGCAUUUGAAACUAAGGGACUUGAGUAUGGGAGAGGGAAGUGGAAUUCCUGGUGUAGCGGUGAAAUGCGUAGAUAUCAGGAGGAACACCCGUGGCGAAGGCGACUUCCUGGACCAAUACUGACGCUGAGGCGCGAAGGCGUGGGGAGCAAACAGGAUUAGAUACCCUGGUAGUCC